UCCAGGAUAUUUAUUGCGUUCAGAAGACACGAUUGUUCCGUGGCGCUACAUAACGUUGGUUAGACUGGUUUUGACGCUAAAGGUUAUAUGAAAUGUUAUAGGGUGAGGACCAGUCAACUCGUUUGCGAGUGCUCGCGAAAAAGCAAUUAUCAUUUAUAGUACUUCAAAAAGGUGUUUCCGUGAAAGCCAUUCAGUCGUUCGUCGUGAAUUGUAUCAAGAUAGUCUUAUUCUUCCAGUCAUGCUCUCUCAACUCAUUGGAAUUUAAUUUCAUUGGACAAUUUGAAUGAUUUCUGAGAAGACGACCAAUAGGCAUGAAGCUUAAAUGGAAAGUGCAGUUGGUGGCAGCACUGGGUUUCGUGUUUUUCUUACUCAUUGUGGUUGUGUAUUUGAUUGCCACUCAGGCACCACGUCGGAACUUCACCUUUGAAGUCGACAUAGACGUUGAUGACGACACCUAAUGUAAAAUGUUGCAAGUAGUUUUACAUUCGUCGAUUUUAUCGUUGGUUUGUGACACAUCGUGUAUUAUCCUUUAGUGAAGGAUAUUAGUCUGAUAAUAAAGAAAGAAAUGUUUUAUUUAA
Gigantopelta aegis is the source of this 578-nucleotide long non-coding RNA. RefSeq lists it as uncharacterized. The transcript has 3 exons. The record is from RefSeq and is a predicted model, not a curated record. NCBI's taxonomy places the organism in Eukaryota, Metazoa, Mollusca, Gastropoda, Neomphalida, Peltospiridae.